This 69-nucleotide transfer RNA is filed under the name Oreolalax lichuanensis (Lichuan lazy toad). RNAcentral describes it as "tRNA-Val". The record is from RNAcentral. Lineage: Eukaryota; Metazoa; Chordata; Amphibia; Anura; Megophryidae.
CAGAAUGUAGCUUAAUCAAAGCCCCUCGCUUACACCGAGCCCAUGCCCGAUGACCACGGGUCAUUCUGA